Molecule: ribosomal RNA, 253 nt
Filed under: uncultured bacterium
Lineage: Bacteria
Description: partial 16S ribosomal RNA
Rfam family: Bacterial small subunit ribosomal RNA
Source: RNAcentral
UACGUAGGGUGCGAGCGUUGUCCGGAAUUACUGGGCGUAAAGAGCUCGUAGGUGGUUUGUCGCGUUGUUCGUGAAAACCGGGGGCUUAACCCUCGGCGUGCGGGCGAUACGGGCAGACUUGAGUACUGCAGGGGAGACUGGAAUUCCUGGUGUAGCGGUGGAAUGCGCAGAUAUCAGGAGGAACACCGGUGACGAAGGCGGGUCUCUGGGCAGUAACUGACGCUGAGGAGCGAAAGCGUGGGGAGCGAACAGG